Molecule: ribosomal RNA, 1430 nt
Filed under: uncultured organism
Description: SSU rRNA
Rfam family: Bacterial small subunit ribosomal RNA
Source: RNAcentral
GAGCGCUAGCUACAGGCUUAACACAUGCAAGUCGAGGGGCUGCAUGGUCUUAGCUUGCUAAGACUGAUGGCGACCGGCGCACGGGUGAGUAACACGUAUCCAACCUGCCGUCUACUCUUGGACAGCCUUCUGAAAGGAAGAUUAAUACAAGAUGGCAUCAUGAGUCCGCAUGUUCACAUGAUUAAAGGUAUUCCGGUAGACGAUGGGGAUGCGUUCCAUUAGAUAGUAGGCGGGGUAACGGCCCACCUAGUCUUCGAUGGAUAGGGGUUCUGAGAGGAAGGUCCCCCACAUUGGAACUGAGACACGGUCCAAACUCCUACGGGAGGCAGCAGUGAGGAAUAUUGGUCAAUGGGCGAGAGCCUGAACCAGCCAAGUAGCGUGAAGGAUGACUGCCCUAUGGGUUGUAAACUUCUUUUAUAAAGGAAUAAAGUCGGGUAUGCAUACCCGUUUGCAUGUACUUUAUGAAUAAGGAUCGGCUAACUCCGUGCCAGCAGCCGCGGUAAUACGGAGGAUCCGAGCGUUAUCCGGAUUUAUUGGGUUUAAAGGGAGCGUAGAUGGAUGUUUAAGUCAGUUGUGAAAGUUUGCGGCUCAACCGUAAAAUUGCAGUUGAUACUGGAUAUCUUGAGUGCAGUUGAGGCAGGCGGAAUUCGUGGUGUAGCGGUGAAAUGCUUAGAUAUCACGAAGAACUCCGAUUGCGAAGGCAGCCUGCUAAGCUGCAACUGACAUUGAGGCUCGAAAGUGUGGGUAUCAAACAGGAUUAGAUACCCUGGUAGUCCACACGGUAAACGAUGAAUACUCGCUGUUUGCGAUAUACUGCAAGCGGCCAAGCGAAAGCGUUAAGUAUUCCACCUGGGGAGUACGCCGGCAACGGUGAAACUCAAAGGAAUUGACGGGGGCCCGCACAAGCGGAGGAACAUGUGGUUUAAUUCGAUGAUACGCGAGGAACCUUACCCGGGCUUAAAUUGCAGAUGAAUUACGGUGAAAGCCGUAAGCCGCAAGGCAUCUGUGAAGGUGCUGCAUGGUUGUCGUCAGCUCGUGCCGUGAGGUGUCGGCUUAAGUGCCAUAACGAGCGCAACCCUUGUUGUCAGUUACUAACAGGUUCCGCUGAGGACUCUGACAAGACUGCCAUCGUAAGAUGUGAGGAAGGUGGGGAUGACGUCAAAUCAGCACGGCCCUUACGUCCGGGGCUACACACGUGUUACAAUGGGGGGUACAGAGGGCCGCUACCACGCGAGUGGAUGCCAAUCCCCAAAACCUCUCUCAGUUCGGACUGGAGUCUGCAACCCGACUCCACGAAGCUGGAUUCGCUAGUAAUCGCGCAUCAGCCACGGCGCGGUGAAUACGUUCCCGGGCCUUGUACACACCGCCCGUCAAGCCAUGGGAGCCGGGGGUACCUGAAGUGCGUAACCGCGAGGAGCGCCCUAGGGUAA